Non-coding RNA from Podarcis lilfordi (Lilford's wall lizard), 73 nucleotides. The record is from the annotation of a GenBank genome assembly. Lineage: Eukaryota; Metazoa; Chordata; Lepidosauria; Squamata; Lacertidae.
GGACCAUGGCUCAGUUGUUGAGCAUGUACCUUGGAUGCCUAAGGUCCUAGGUUCACAAUCCCUGGCAUCUCCA